AGACGAACCGGACGAACGUUAUUCGGAAUCACUGGGCUUAAAGGGUGCGUAGGCGGCGCGGCAAGUUGGGUGUGAAAGCCCUCAGCUUAACUGAGGAAUUGCGCCCAAAACUGUCGUGCUAGAGGGAGGCAGAGGUGAGCGGAACUUGCGGUGGAGCGGUGAAAUGCGUUGAUAUCGCAAGGAACACCAGUGGCGAAAGCGGCUCACUGGGCCUCUUCUGACGCUGAGGCACGAAAGCUAGGGGAGCGAACGGGAUUAGAUACCCCGGUAGUCCUAGCUGUAAACGAUGAGCACUUGGUUGGAGGGUCCUCCAUAGCUUUCCAAUCGUAGCGAAAGUGUUAAGUGCUCCGCCUGGGGAGUAUGGUCGCAAGGCUGAA
This 377-nucleotide ribosomal RNA is filed under the name uncultured bacterium. Its description in RNAcentral is "bacterial SSU rRNA". It matches the Rfam family "Bacterial small subunit ribosomal RNA", at positions 523 to 898 of the family's 1533-position model. The record is from RNAcentral.